CUCGUAGUUGAAUCUCAGUUCCAGACAGGCGGUCCGCUCCGGUGGUUACUGCCUGGCCUGAACAUCCUGACGGUUUUCCUUCUGUGCUCUUGACUGAGUGUCGUAGGUGCCCGUCACGUUUACUUUGAAAAAAUUGGAGUGCUCAAAGCAGGCGUUCCGCCUGAAUAAUGGUGCAUGGAAUAAUGAAAGAGGACUUCGAGUUCUAUUGUGUUGGUUUUCGGAACACGAGGUAAUGAUUAAAAGGGACAGACGGGGGCAUUCGUAUUGCGACGCUAGAGGUGAAAUUCUUGGACCGUCGCAAGACGAACUACAGCGAAAGCAUUUGCCAAGAAUGUUUUCAUUAAUCAAGAACGAAAGUUAGAGGUUCGAAGGCGAUCAGAUACCGCCCUAGUUCUAACCAUAAACGAUGCCAACCAGCGAUCCGCCUGAGUUACUCAAUUGACUCGGCGGGCAGCUUCCGGGAAACCAAAGUUUGUGGGUUCCGGGGGAAGUAUGGUUGCAAAGCUGAAACUUAAAGGAAUUGACGGAAGGGCACCACCAGGAGUGGAGCCUGCGGCUUAAUUUGACUCAACACGGGAAAACUUACCCGGCCCGGACACCGGAAGGAUUGACAGAUUAAGAGCUCUUUCUUGAUUCGGUGGGUGGUGGUGCAUGGCCGUUCUUAGUUGGUGGAGCGAUUUGUCUGGUUAAUUCCGAUAACGAACGAGACUCUAGCCUACUAAAUAGGCGACCGAUCACUUGUGUCGGUCUUCCUUCUUAGAGGGACAAGCGGCGUUUAGCCGCACGAGACAGAGCAAUAACAGGUCUGUGAUGCCCUUAGAUGUCCGGGGCCGCACGCGCGCUACACUGAAGGAAUCAGCGUGUGUUUACCCCUGUCCGGCAGGACUGGGUAACCCGAUGAACCUCCUUCGUGAUAGGGAUAGGAGCUUGUAAUUGUUCUCCUUGAACGAGGAAUUCCCAGUAAGCGCGAGUCAUAAGCUCGUGUUGAUUACGUCCCUGCCCUUUGUACACACCGCCCGUCGCUACUACCGAUUGAAUGAUUUAGUGAGGUCUUCGGACUGGUGCUCGGAGCGGCUCUCGGGUCGCACCGCCGUACCGGAAAGAUGACCAAACUUGAUCAUUUAGAGGAAGUAAAAGUCGUAACAAGGUUUCC
RNAcentral lists this ribosomal RNA (1153 nucleotides) under Pantopsalis sp. MCZ IZ 129585. RNAcentral describes it as "SSU rRNA". It matches the Rfam family "Eukaryotic small subunit ribosomal RNA", at positions 627 to 1804 of the family's 1831-position model. The record is from RNAcentral. Lineage: Eukaryota; Metazoa; Arthropoda; Arachnida; Opiliones; Neopilionidae.